Molecule: RNA transcript, 2162 nt
Organism: Lemur catta (Ring-tailed lemur)
Lineage: Eukaryota; Metazoa; Chordata; Mammalia; Primates; Lemuridae
Exons: 9
Source: RefSeq, a predicted model, not a curated record
UAUAAACAUUCGGGUACAGGUGUCUUUGUUAUAGAAUGGAAAGUAACCAUUUUAAAGCAAACAGUUCAGUAGCAGUUGGUGCAUGAAAGAUGUUGGGAAGUGAAACCCUGGGCCCAUUAGGCAGUUUCUCUCGGUUUCCUCCUCCCCCAGCCUCUGGCAAACACCGAUCUGCUUUCUAUUCCUGUGGGGUUUCCUAUUCUGAGUAUUUCAUAUAAAUGGGAUCAUGCAAUGUCUGUAGUCUUUUGUGUGCAGCUUCUUUCACUUGGUGUCACGUUGCUGAGGUUCAUCCAUAUAUAAGUCUUGUGGAAGGGAUGUUCUCUCUCCUAUUUAAUGCCGAAUGGCAGCUUUAAGAAACCCUGACACUAGCAUGUCCCUGGAAAGAUCAGCAGAAGCUGCAGAGGCUGGGCCUGUUCACAGGACCACCGCUGUCUUCUGACUGCUGCAUCCCGGCUCUGGCCCCGAAUGAUGAUUCCUGAGGCCUUAACAUCAUCGCUUGCUCCUGGCCAAUGCUUCGUUCUUUCCCACCUUGUUUCUCACAUCCCACCGUGGGUGCUCAAUGCUGACACCUUGCCCUGCUGAGGUUGCCUCACCUCUGUAUAUCUGGAUUCAACAGAGCUUGAGAGAAAAUGAAUCUCACAGAAAUUGAGGAGAAGACAAGGGUGGGCUUCUAAUCCUCCAGUGCUUUUGAUUUUGUUCAAUUGCCAUGAGGUCUCAUGGGACAGAGGUGGGAGCAGAUGGUUUCUUACACCUGGACAGGAAGAAGAUGCUGAAUCAGGAUAAUUCAUGGAAGAAGGGAUUAGUCAUAAAAAGUUUUUAGGCUGAUCCUACAUAAUCCGAGAGAGAGAGCAGUUACGGUGCCAGCAGCCCUGCGGAGCCACUAGGUGGCAUUCCAAUGCUAUCAUGAAAGAUUCUGACAUUGACGUUAAACUAUUUGGAAAAACAUUUUGUCUUCAUUUUAGGACUCUAGAGUCAGACUAAGUUCAACUGCUACCUCCAAUAGUCACUUGCCAAUGACCUUGGAUGAAAAGAACACAGUGCCCAGAUCAAAGCCUGCAUCCCGUGUACCUGAGCAUGCGCCUUAGUGAAGACACAACAUCUGGCAAGGAAGCUUCAGUGCCAGCUGUGGGCUGCUACUUGCUUAAGUUUUCAGGAGUCUGACAUCCUCUGGGACCUGUCUGGUUUCUGCAGGGACUAAAUUAAUUAAAUGAUGAUAUGGUGUGCGAUCCUGAAGGCACAAGCCACACUCAGCCAUCUCUGACUCCUGGACACCAGUUCUCGGGUGUGAAUCGGAGCUUCCACCUGACGCUGGGCUGUCAUCGAGCCAGAGUGACAAUGAGACAAUCUGGCUGUCAUCGCACGUUGGGAGCCGGUGAAGGUGAUUCAGGGGGAACUGCAGACAUAGACACAACUGGCUCACACAAGUUUGAACUGCACACCCCGGCCGACCACAACAAAAGCUCCGAGAGGAAAGGUGAGAAAGGUUCUUUACUUUUAAGGACUCAUUUGACUGCAUUGAGCCCACCUGGAUAGUCCAAGCUCCACUCCUCUUCUCAAGAUUCUUAGCCACACCUGCAUCCUCACGCCUCUUUGUCACGAGAGGGUCUGCGUGUUACUCAGCUUGAUGGAAUCCUGUCUUAUACCAUUCAUAAGAGCAAUGAGAAACUGUGAUGUGUCCUUCCUAGUGCAUCGUAUGUUGGCUACGUCACAAUGGCACCAAGUGAUUGUGCUGGGGAAGAGAUAUUGGAUUUGUGUCUAUCUGAAGCAAAGUAACAUCCAGAAGAGAAAUACCUGGCUAGGGAUUGUUAAAAAAAAUCCCAAUUCUGCCUUUUCUCACAGGAAUGUCGUUGGAUUCUACACAACAUAACUGUAAAGGGAUCCAAAGAACAAAUUCGUCUGAGGUUGUAGUAUCAGAACUUCAGUCACCUCCCUCCACCCCAAGCUUUAUAAAAAAAAAACUUAUGAACACUCUGAUCCCUGUAACUUAUUCCCUCUUUACUUUGGCUACUAGGAAGCUUACAGCAAACUUACAGACCACUGCUAGCAACUGUACCGAGCUGUGGCUUGCAUUUCUCUAACUCCUGGAUUUACCAUUUUGCUGCCCACUUCCCUCUUUGCUGUGAUAUGCUCAGUUUUUUAUAUUUUAUUCUUUUAAAAAAUUUUAA